This 390-nucleotide ribosomal RNA is filed under the name uncultured soil bacterium. Its description in RNAcentral is "bacterial SSU rRNA". It matches the Rfam family "Bacterial small subunit ribosomal RNA", at positions 26 to 416 of the family's 1533-position model. The record is from RNAcentral.
AGAUUGAACGCUAGCGGGAUGCUUUACACAUGCAAGUCGAACGGCAGCGCGGACUUCGGUCUGGCGGCGAGUGGCGAACGGGUGAGUAAUAUAUCGGAACGUGCCCAGUAGCGGGGGAUAACUACGCGAAAGCGUGGCUAAUACCGCAUACGCCCUACGGGGGAAAGGGGGGGAUUCUUCGGAACCUCUCACUAUUGGAGCGGCCGAUAUCAGAUUAGCUAGUUGGUGAGGUAAAGGCUCACCAAGGCGACGAUCUGAAGCUGGUUUGAGAGGACGACCAGCCACACUGGGACUGAGACACGGCCCAGACUCCUACGGGAGGCAGCAGUGGGGAAUUUUGGACAAUGGGGGAAACCCUGAUCCAGCCAUCCCGCGUGUGCGAUGAAGGCC